RNAcentral lists this ribosomal RNA (440 nucleotides) under uncultured bacterium. Its description in RNAcentral is "partial 16S ribosomal RNA". It matches the Rfam family "Bacterial small subunit ribosomal RNA", at positions 338 to 795 of the family's 1533-position model. The record is from RNAcentral.
CCUACGGGGGGCAGCAGUGAGGAAUAUUGGUCAAUGGGGGAAACCCUGAUGCAGCAACGCCGCGUGGAGGAUGAAGGUUUUCGGAUUGUAAACUCCUUUUGUUAGAGAAGAGAAUGACGGUAUCUAACGAAUAAGCACCGGCGAACUCCGUGCCAGCAGCCGCGGGAAUACGGAGGGUGCAAGCGUUACUCGGAAUCACUGGGCGUAAAGAGCGCGGAGGCGGGAUUGCAAGUCAGAUGUGAAAUCCUAUGGCUUAACCAUAGAACUGCAUUUGAAACUGUUAUUCUAGAGUAUGGGAGAGGUAAGUGGAAUUCUUGGUGUAGGGGUGAAAUCCGUAGAGAUCAAGAGGAAUACUCAUUGCGAAGGCGACCUGCUAGAACAUAACUGACGCUGAUGCGCGAAAGCGUGGGGAGCAAACAGGAUUAGAUACCCUUGUAGUC